RNAcentral lists this ribosomal RNA (253 nucleotides) under uncultured bacterium. RNAcentral's name for it is "partial 16S ribosomal RNA". It matches the Rfam family "Bacterial small subunit ribosomal RNA", at positions 524 to 776 of the family's 1533-position model. The record is from RNAcentral.
UACAGAGGGGGCAAGCGUUGUUCGGAAUUACUGGGCGUAAAGGGCGCGUAGGCGGACCACCCAGUCCGGGGUGAAAUCUUUCGGCUCAACCGGAAAAGGGCCUUGGAUACUGGUGGUCUGGAGGAAGGUAGGGGCAUGCGGAACUUCCGGUGGAGCGGUGAAAUGCGUUGAUAUCGGAAGGAACGCCGGUGGCGAAAGCGGCGUGCUGGACCUUUUCUGACGCUGAUGCGCGAAAGCCAGGGGAGCGAACGGG